This 673-nucleotide ribosomal RNA is filed under the name uncultured bacterium. Its description in RNAcentral is "bacterial SSU rRNA". It matches the Rfam family "Bacterial small subunit ribosomal RNA", at positions 138 to 807 of the family's 1533-position model. The record is from RNAcentral.
GGGGGAUAAGCGGAAGAAAUUCCGUCUAAUACCGCAUAAUACAAUUUGGAGACAUCUCCGGGUUGUCAAAGGAGUGAUCCGGCAGAGGAUGGACAUGCGGCGCAUUAGCUAGUCGGCGGGGUAACGGCCCACCGAGGCUACGAUGCGUAGGGGUUCUGAGAGGAAGGUCCCCCACACUGGUACUGAGACACGGACCAGACUCCUACGGGAGGCAGCAGUGAGGAAUAUUGGUCAAUGGGCGGAAGCCUGAACCAGCCAAGUCGCGUGAGGGAAGACGGUCCUAUGGAUUGUAAACCUCUUUUGCAGGGGAGCAAGGCGCGGUACGUGUACCGCGAAGGAGAGUACCCUGAGAAAAAACAUCGGCUAACUCCGUGCCAGCAGCCGCGGUAAUACGGAGGAUGCGAGCGUUAUCCGGAUUUAUUGGGUUUAAAGGGUGCGCAGGCGGACUGUUAAGUCAGCGGUAAAAUGUCGGUGCUCAACACCGGCCGGCCGUUGAAACUGGCAGCCUUGAGUGAGCGAGAAGUAAGCGGAAUGCGUGGUGUAGCGGUGAAAUGCAUAGAUAUCACGCAGAACUCCGAUUGCGAAGGCAGCAUACCGGCGCUCAACUGACGCUCAGGCACGAAAGCGUGGGUAUCGAACAGGCUUAGAUACCCUGGUAGUCCACGCAGUAAAC